ACCCUCCCAGGGUCGCACCUGAAGACUUUCCAGUACUCUAUCAGUCUCGAUGACAGGAGGGAGAGUCAAGCAGAGGCAAAUCCAUUCCAUUCCUAGGUUGGGCAGUGGCUAGAGAGUGGAAGGCAAUUUGCUACACAU
Ornithorhynchus anatinus (platypus) is the source of this 138-nucleotide small nucleolar RNA. Lineage: Eukaryota; Metazoa; Chordata; Mammalia; Monotremata; Ornithorhynchidae. The record is from RefSeq and is a predicted model, not a curated record.